Molecule: ribosomal RNA, 497 nt
Filed under: uncultured bacterium
Lineage: Bacteria
Description: partial 16S ribosomal RNA
Rfam family: Bacterial small subunit ribosomal RNA
Source: RNAcentral
GAUGAACGCUGGCGGCGUGCCUAAUACAUGCAAGUCGAGCGAACGGACGAGAAGCUUGCUUCUCUGAUGUUAGCGGCGGACGGGUGAGUAACACGUGGAUAACCUACCUAUAAGACUGGGAUAACUUCGGGAAACCGGAGCUAAUACCGGAUAAUAUUUUGAACCGCAUGGUUCAAAAGUGAAAGACGGUCUUGCUGUCACUUAUAGAUGGAUCCGCGCUGCAUUAGCUAGUUGGUAAGGUAACGGCUUACCAAGGCAACGAUGCAUAGCCGACCUGAGAGGGUGAUCGGCCACACUGGAACUGAGACACGGUCCAGACUCCUACGGGAGGCAGCAGUAGGGAAUCUUCCACAAUGGGCGAAAGCCUGACGGAGCAACGCCGCGUGAGUGAUGAAGGUCUUCGGAUCGUAAAACUCUGUUAUUAGGGAAGAACAUAUGUGUAAGUAACUGUGCACGUCUUGACGGUACCUAAUCAGAAAGCCACGGCUAACUACGUG